RNAcentral lists this ribosomal RNA (460 nucleotides) under uncultured bacterium. Its description in RNAcentral is "partial 16S ribosomal RNA". It matches the Rfam family "Bacterial small subunit ribosomal RNA", at positions 338 to 795 of the family's 1533-position model. The record is from RNAcentral.
CCUACGGGUGGCAGCAGUGAGGAAUAUUGGUCAAUGGGCGGAAGCCUGAACCAGCCAAGUCGCGUGCAGGAUGACGGCCCUACGGGUUGUAAACUGCUUUUAUACGGGAAUAACGCGCCUUACGUGUAGGGCUUUGCAUGUACAGUAUGAAUAAGGCCCGGCUAAUUCCGUGCAAGCAGCCGCGGUAAUACGGAAGGUCCGGGCGUUAUCCGGAUUUAUUGGGUUUAAAGGGAGCGUAAACGGCAUGGCAAGCGUGCGGUGAAAUGUCCGGGCGCAACCCGGGCCUUGCAGUGCAAACUGGCGAGCUUGAGUCCACGGGAGGCAGGCGGAAUUCGUGGUGUAGCGGUGAAAUGCUUAGAUAUGACGAAGAACCCCGAUUGCGAAGGCAGUUUGCUGCAGCGUAACUGACGCUGAUGCUCGAAAGCGCGGGUAGCGAACAGGAUUAGAUACCCGAGUAGUC